AGAGUUUGAUCCUGGCUCAGAUUGAACGCUGGCGGCAGGCCUAACACAUGCAAGUCGAGCGGUAGAGAGAAGCUUGCUUCUCUUGAGAGCGGCGGACGGGUGAGUAAUGCCUAGGAAUCUGCCUGGUAGUGGGGGAUAACGUUCGGAAACGAACGCUAAUACCGCAUACGUCCUACGGGAGAAAGCAGGGGACCUUCGGGCCUUGCGCUAUCAGAUGAGCCUAGGUCGGAUUAGCUAGUUGGUGAGGUAAUGGCUCACCAAGGCGACGAUCCGUAACUGGUCUGAGAGGAUGAUCAGUCACACUGGAACUGAGACACGGUCCAGACUCCUACGGGAGGCAGCAGUGGGGAAUAUUGGACAAUGGGCGAAAGCCUGAUCCAGCCAUGCCGCGUGUGUGAAGAAGGUCUUCGGAUUGUAAAGCACUUUAAGUUGGGAGGAAGGGCAUUAACCUAAUACGUUAGUGUUUUGACGUUACCGACAGAAUAAGCACCGGCUAACUCUGUGCCAGCAGCCGCGGUAAU
This 521-nucleotide ribosomal RNA is filed under the name uncultured Pseudomonas sp. RNAcentral describes it as "bacterial SSU rRNA". It matches the Rfam family "Bacterial small subunit ribosomal RNA", at positions 8 to 524 of the family's 1533-position model. The record is from RNAcentral. Lineage: Bacteria; Pseudomonadati; Pseudomonadota; Gammaproteobacteria; Pseudomonadales; Pseudomonadaceae.